UGGGGGAUAUUGCACAAUGGGCGAAAGCCUGAUGCAGCGACGCCGCGUGGGGGAUGAAGGCCUUCGGGUUGUAAACUUCUUUUGCUCUGAACAAGGCGCACCAUGGGGUGUGUUGAGUGUAGGGGUUGAUUAGCGCCGGCUAACUACGUGCCAGCAGCCGCGGUAAUACGUAGGGCGCGAGCGUUGUCCGGAAUUAUUGGGCGUAAAGGGCUUGUAGGUGGCUGGUUGCGUCUGUCGUGAAAGCUCAUGGCUUAACUGUGGGUUUGCGGUGGGUACGGGCUGGCUUGGGUGCAGUAGGGGAGGCUGGAAUUCCUGGUGUAGCGGUGGAAUGCGCAGAUGUCAGGAAGAAUACCGGUGGCGAAGGCGGGUCUCUGGGCUGUUACUGACACUGAGGAGCGAAAGCAUGGGGAGCGAACAGG
Molecule: ribosomal RNA, 419 nt
Filed under: bacterium
Lineage: Bacteria
Description: partial 16S ribosomal RNA
Rfam family: Bacterial small subunit ribosomal RNA
Source: RNAcentral